Molecule: ribosomal RNA, 253 nt
Filed under: uncultured bacterium
Lineage: Bacteria
Description: partial 16S ribosomal RNA
Rfam family: Bacterial small subunit ribosomal RNA
Source: RNAcentral
UACAGAGGUCUCAAGCGUUGUUCGGAUUCAUUGGGCGUAAAGGGUGCGUAGGCGGCUUGGUAAGUCGGGUGUGAAAUUUCGGAGCUUAACUCCGAAACUGCAUUCGAUACUGCUGUGCUUGAGGACUGGAGAGGAGACUGGAAUUUACGGUGUAGCAGUGAAAUGCGUAGAGAUCGUAAGGAAGACCAGUGGCGAAGGCGGGUCUCUGGACAGUUCCUGACACUGAGACACGAAGGCCAGGGGAGCAAACGGG